This 119-nucleotide ribosomal RNA is filed under the name Pteropus alecto (black flying fox). The record is from RNAcentral. Lineage: Eukaryota; Metazoa; Chordata; Mammalia; Chiroptera; Pteropodidae.
GUCUACGGCCACGCCACUCUGAACACACUCGAUCCCGUCUGAUCGCGGACGCUAAGCAGGGUCAGGCCUGGUUAGUGCUUGGAUGGGAGACCACCUAGGAAGACCAGGUGCUGUAGGCA